This 75-nucleotide transfer RNA is filed under the name Hydrogenovibrio crunogenus XCL-2. RNAcentral describes it as "tRNA-Arg (CCG) (tRNA-Arg-CCG-1-1)". It matches the Rfam family "tRNA". From Rfam's summary of the family: Transfer RNA (tRNA) molecules are approximately 80 nucleotides in length. Their secondary structure includes four short double-helical elements and three loops (D, anti-codon, and T loops). Further hydrogen bonds mediate the characteristic L-shaped molecular structure. tRNAs have two regions of fundamental functional importance: the anti-codon, which is responsible for specific mRNA codon recognition, and the 3' end, to which the tRNAs corresponding amino acid is attached (by aminoacyl-tRNA synthetases). tRNAs cope with the degeneracy of the genetic code in two manners: having more than one tRNA (with a specific anti-codon) for a particular amino acid; and 'wobble' base-pairing, i.e. permitting non-standard base-pairing at the 3rd anti-codon position. The record is from RNAcentral. Lineage: Bacteria; Pseudomonadati; Pseudomonadota; Gammaproteobacteria; Thiotrichales; Piscirickettsiaceae.
GCGUUCAUAGUAAAAUGGAUAUUACGAGGCCCUCCGGAGGCCUAGUUGGGGGUUCGAGUCCUCCUGAGCGCGCCA